Molecule: long non-coding RNA, 1246 nt
Organism: Herpailurus yagouaroundi (jaguarundi)
Lineage: Eukaryota; Metazoa; Chordata; Mammalia; Carnivora; Felidae
Exons: 3
Source: RefSeq, a predicted model, not a curated record
GGGAGCUUUAAAAUAUACAGAUCCUUGCAUCCCAUGCUCAAAAAACUAAUUCACUGAACCCCAAACUGUAUUUUUUAAAAGUGACUGGGGUAAGGAUUUCUUACAGAGAACAUAAAAAACACUUAUCCAUGAAAGAGAAGCUGAUACACCGUCCUUUAAACUAUAAAUGUCCAUUCAUUAAAAGAGAAUGAAAAGUCAACCAACAGACUGGGAGAAGAUAUUUUCAAUAUAUAUAUUCUACAAAGAUCUAGGACCAGCAUAUAUGAAGACAGUCCUACAAAUCAACAAGAACAAUUAAAAAUCAACAACCGAUUUUUUUUUUUUAGGUAAAAAAAGACACAGACACUUCACCAAUGAAGAUAAAUGAACGACCAUAUACAUAUGAAAAGCUUGACUCAUAACUCAUCAGGGAAAGGUAAAUUAAAACCACAGCGACAUACGAUCACCAGUAGCACUCUGGUAUUCAACAAGCAACUUUCCAGGAAUUAAAGCUUUUCUUUGGCGUCAAUACUCCCAUGAGGGCUGACGUUAAGCCGCCAAAGUGACUUCGCUGAUCGCAUAAUGAGGAAGCGAUGUAGACAAUGGACGUUUACAAGCCACACAGGCUGGUUCCAGCACAUCACUGAGACCACUACACAACUGCCGUGAAGGCUAAAAUGAAAAAGUCUGACCAUACCAAGUGCUGGCUUAGUUGCUAACAUCUAGAAGAAAACAGCUUCUGCUCUCUUUCUUCGUCCAAGAGGACAAGACCUCCUGACCAGAAAUCAAGGCACAGCUGAGGCUGACUGAGCAGAUGCUAUUCCCUGCACUGGAAGGGAGGGCCAGCGUCAGGCAUGACCUUUGCUCCUUGGUGCCGCCUCCUUCACCACCCACCGCCAGCCUGCUCGCCACCUUGGGGCCAUUAGCAUUUUUAAGGUUCUUAUUCCCAUACACAUCCUGCCCUGGGAUUGUCUCUUCCUCGAGGUAUUAGCACCUUCCACUUGCCUUUUAUCACCCCAGCCCCGCCUGCCUGGGGUCAGCCUUCAAUCCACAAGCGUCUGGGGAAGAGCCAGGAAGCCUGCUCACACUCCUUUCACAGUUCAUCCCUUUCCGUCGGAGGCAUGUCCUGAGGUCCCGAGCCCCCUCCCACCUUUUCUCCCUUCCCCCCCACGAGAGGUGUUCCCAUAAUCAGUAGGCAUCAGUCGGCUCUAAUCAACCCCCUGUUUUGACUAUUUUAGCAGCAAUAAAAGGGCCAUAAAGAGAAAGU